CUGGUAUGACUGGCUUCGCUGAUUCCUCCUUUCUGAAGAACUGUAAUGCCAUUAAUUUGGUGUUGCAGGGAAACAGGACUGUUACUUUGAAAAAAUUAGAGUGUUUAAAGCAGGCUAACGCUUGAAUACAUUAGCAUGGAAUAAUGAAAUAGGACGUUUGAUCCUAUUUUGUUGGUUUCUAGGAUUGACGUAAUGAUUAAUAGGGAUAGUUGGGGGCAUUAGUAUUCAAUUGUCAGAGGUGAAAUUCUUGGAUUUAUUGAAGACUAACUACUGCGAAAGCAUUUGCCAAGGAUGUUUUCAUUAAUCAAGAACGAAAGUUAGGGGAUCGAAGACGAUCAGAUACCGUCGUA
Molecule: ribosomal RNA, 350 nt
Filed under: uncultured Glomeromycotina
Lineage: Eukaryota; Fungi; Glomeromycota
Description: SSU rRNA
Rfam family: Eukaryotic small subunit ribosomal RNA
Source: RNAcentral